Molecule: non-coding RNA, 46 nt
Organism: Pelecanus crispus (Dalmatian pelican)
Lineage: Eukaryota; Metazoa; Chordata; Aves; Pelecaniformes; Pelecanidae
Source: Rfam
CCAAUGGCUUUCUUAGAAGCCAUAUUCUGUUUCAUAUUUUGUUUCU